RNAcentral lists this ribosomal RNA (481 nucleotides) under uncultured bacterium. Its description in RNAcentral is "partial 16S ribosomal RNA". It matches the Rfam family "Bacterial small subunit ribosomal RNA", at positions 28 to 507 of the family's 1533-position model. The record is from RNAcentral.
GAUGAACGCUGGCGGCGUGCUUAACACAUGCAAGUCGAACGAAGCAUCUGCGACAGUUUUUUUCGGAAUGAAGUUGCUUAUGACUGAGUGGCGGACGGGUGAGCAACGCGUGGGUAACCUGUAUUGUCCUGGGGGAUAGCCGCUGGAAACGUCUGGUAAUAACGCAUAAGCUCACAAUGUUGAAUGACGUGGUGUGAAAAACUCCGGUGGGAUAAGAUGGACCCGCGUCUGAUUAGCUAGUUGGUGCGAGAACAGCCAACGAAGGCGAGACUAGGUAGACGAGCUGAGAGAGUGGCCGGAGACACUGGCGGGGAGACACAGCACAGACUCCUACGCGAGGCAGCAGUGCGUAAUAGUGCACAAUGGAGGGAACUCUGAUGCAGUUACGCCGCGAGAGUGAAGAAGUAAUGCAUGAUGUAAAGCUCUAGCAGCAAGGAAGAUAUUGACGGUACCUGACUAAGAAGCCCCGGCUAAAUACGUG